RNAcentral lists this RNase P RNA (272 nucleotides) under Erinaceus europaeus (western European hedgehog). RNAcentral describes it as "Nuclear RNase P (ENSEEUG00000023799.1)". It matches the Rfam family "Nuclear RNase P". From Rfam's summary of the family: Ribonuclease P (RNase P) is a ubiquitous endoribonuclease, found in archaea, bacteria and eukarya as well as chloroplasts and mitochondria. Its best characterised activity is the generation of mature 5'-ends of tRNAs by cleaving the 5'-leader elements of precursor-tRNAs. The record is from Rfam by way of RNAcentral. Lineage: Eukaryota; Metazoa; Chordata; Mammalia; Eulipotyphla; Erinaceidae.
UGCAGGUGGGAAGCUUUGCGACACUCUGUGCCCCCUGGGAAGGUCUGAGACUAGGGCCAUCUAGCUGCCCUAACAGGGCCCUCCCCCGGCCCGAGCAGGUGAGUUCCCAAAGAACAAGGCAGAUUGGGCAGGAGAUGCUGCAGAUGACAAGCUGGGUCCCAGCGGAUGCCUCCUUAGCCAGAGCUUGGAACAGACUCACGGCUAAUGAAGUGAGUUCAGUGGCUGAGGUGGGGUAUCCUCCAGUAGGAGACUUCAGACUACUCUCCCCUGUA